UAGGUGAAGAAUUUGUAUGCAUUGGCUUAAUGCUUCUGCCUUCUAAAGAAGCUGAGCUAUCUAGUUUAGCCGUUGAAAUUGAGGACAUAUCAUUCUGGAUGACUGGUUGAAAUGAGUCUCAUGAUUUUUCUUCACAGCUGUAUUAUGGUGUUUCAGAUAUUUUUGCGGGAAAAUUUUCGAAUUUGAUGCAAGCUGUGGUCCCGCUCUGUUAAGUCCUUAUUUAUUUUCUUAAUUGUCAGGUGAAUAAAUUUCUCGCCAUUGCUUUUUUUAUGAUUAUUCCAUCUUUCAUUGAUCAAGUCUCUUACUUUGACAGUAGUUUGGGCUCCUAUUCUCAUUGACUUGAAUCAGCAAGUAUUUAUUAGAUGUCCACUUAGUCUUGGUAAAUAGUUCUUGCAUGUUUUAGCAAAAUUGAAUGAGAAUGUGCUAAAAGAUGUGUGGUCUGUUGAAAGUUAAAACUGAACAAUGGCUAUUGUCUCAUUCAUCACUGGGUGACAAGAAUAUGAUUGUAUUGCACAUUUUGAACAGAAAAUGAUGGUCGGGUAUCUCUCUUUUAUGUGCCUUAUCUUAAGCUUAGUCUUUCUCUUUUAUGGUAUUUUUCCAGAUUCUUGGCCCUAAGCUGGUUUUCUUUUACUUGCA
RNAcentral lists this long non-coding RNA (636 nucleotides) under Coffea arabica (coffee). Its description in RNAcentral is "long non-coding RNA (CARA_LNC002816)". The record is from RNAcentral. Lineage: Eukaryota; Viridiplantae; Streptophyta; Magnoliopsida; Gentianales; Rubiaceae.